Molecule: ribosomal RNA, 429 nt
Filed under: bacterium
Lineage: Bacteria
Description: partial 16S ribosomal RNA
Rfam family: Bacterial small subunit ribosomal RNA
Source: RNAcentral
UAGGGAAUCUUCGGCAAUGGGGGCAACCCUGACCGAGCAACGCCGCGUGAGUGAAGAAGGUUUUCGGAUCGUAAAGCUCUGUUGUAAGAGAAGAACGUGUGUGAGAGUGGAAAGUUCACACAGUGACGGUAACUUACCAGAAAGGGACGGCUAACUACGUGCCAGCAGCCGCGGUAAUACGUAGGUCCCGAGCGUUGUCCGGAUUUAUUGGGCGUAAAGCGAGCGCAGGCGGUUUAAUAAGUCUGAAGUUAAAGGCAGUGGCUUAACCAUUGUUCGCUUUGGAAGCUGUUGAACUUGAGUGCAGAAGGGGAGAGUGGAAUUCCUUGUGUAGCGGUGAAGUGCGUAGGUAUAUGGAGGAACACCGGUGGCGAAAGCGGCUCGCUGGUCUGUAACUGACGCUGAGGCUCGAAAGCGUGGGGAGCAAACAGG